RNAcentral lists this ribosomal RNA (440 nucleotides) under uncultured bacterium. Its description in RNAcentral is "partial 16S ribosomal RNA". It matches the Rfam family "Bacterial small subunit ribosomal RNA", at positions 338 to 795 of the family's 1533-position model. The record is from RNAcentral.
CCUACGGGAGGCAGCAGUGGGGAAUAUUGCACAAUGGGGGAAACCCUGAUGCAGCGACGCCGCGUGAGUGAAGAAGUACUUCGGUAUGUAAAGCUCUAUCAGCAGGGAAGAAAAUGACGGUACCUGUCUAAGAAGCCCCUGCUAACUACGUCCCAGCAGCCGCGGUAAUACGUCGGCGGCAAGCGUUAUCCGGAUUUACUGGGUGGAAACGGAGCGUCGUCGGCGGAAAAAGUGCGGAGGGAAAACCCGGGGCUGAACCCUGGGAGUGCUUUGGAAACGGGUUGGCUGGAGUGCAUGAGAGGUAAGCGGAAUGCCUAGGGUAGCGGUGAAAUGCGUAGAUAUUAGGAGGAACACCAGUGGCGAAGGCGGCUUACUGGACUGUAACUGACGUUGAGGCUCGAAAGCGUGGGGAGCAAACAGGAUUAGAUACCCUUGUAGUC